RNAcentral lists this ribosomal RNA (218 nucleotides) under Lacticaseibacillus casei. Its description in RNAcentral is "Lactobacillus casei ribosomal RNA". Lineage: Bacteria; Bacillati; Bacillota; Bacilli; Lactobacillales; Lactobacillaceae. The record is from RNAcentral.
CUAAGGAAACAGACUUUAAGUCUGACGGAAACCUGCACACACGAAACUUUGUUUAGUUUUGAGGGGACGACCCUCAAGCACCCUAGCGGGUCGACUUUGUUCUUUGAAAACUGGAUAUCAUUGUUGUAAAUGUUUUAAAUUGCCGAGAACACAGCGUAUUUGUAUGAGUUUCUAAUUUAGAAAUUCGCAUCGCAUAACCGCUGACGCAAGUCAGUACA